ACUAAAGAGCAAUCCUGAAAAAUAUCUACUGGAAUGGAAAUUUUCUGAUCUUUGGGUACAUAAAGGAACUGCUGUGUGAGAGAAAAAAUGUCAAUACAUUUGGAGGACAGGCUGGCAGUACUUCUUUCCAGAUGUACCAUUUGGCACAUUAAACAAUUCUUUUCUUAGAAGGGGAACCUAUGGUUUUGCCAUGUAAUGCAAAACACCAAUGGAAUCACUACAUAAGCAAAAUGCCAGUAAUGGUACAGUGGUCCAGCCACAAACAUUGGUGAAGGUCAGAAAAUGAGCAAGGAUAUUCCACACAUCCCUCUGCCACUGUCCAUUGACUUUCUGUGUGUUAGAGAGUUUCUUGCCAUCAACAGGCCUACCCCUUCCCCUGUCUGAAGCUUCCUAUGGGAUGAGCAGCAGGACAGCUGCCUUCCUCCUAGCCUUGUGGCCAAGGGAGGAAAAGGAGACUGGCCAGGCAAAUCGCAUGUGUUUCCUUGGCAGGGCUGGUCUUUGCACCUGGGAAGGGCUGUCGGCUUGGGGAGAGAGCUGUGACAUACUGCCCUGCCUGACUGCCCAGCCUGACCCCUGCCUUGGGUUCUCUGGGAUUUUUCUAUUCAUUACAGCAAAUAUCCUGUAAUUCGAGCUUUGUAUAAGUGGGGUCAUACUCUGCUCAGUAGAUAGCAGAUUUCUUUCUAGUUAAUAUGACAGGUGUUUAGGUUUUUUUUUCUUUCAUUCACCAGAAACCUCACCUUUAUUCCUCCCAUGUUAAAUAAGUCAAUUCUGGUUUUUGCCUGUCCAUACAGUCAGAAAAUGACACUUCCUGAUUACUCUCCCCCAGCUUAAAAGCAAUAGAAAAGCAAUAGUGGAAAAAAAAGAGUGAUUUCUCCCCAAGAUUCUAAUUAAAUGUGGUUGUGUGGCCUUUCCAGUUUGUUAAACUUUGUAAUUAAUAAUGACCAGGUGAGGCAGGGAAGUUAUUUUUCUUUGGGCUUUUUCCAUCCCGUGAAUGCUGGGAAAAAAUGCAAGGAAGGCACUUAGUUGUGAGAACACUUUCCCUCUCCUAUUGGUACAAGUCCUAAAAUCUGGCUAUGUUUUAAACCCCUGUGAAGAGCAAAAUUUCAUUAU
Molecule: long non-coding RNA, 1110 nt
Organism: Ficedula albicollis (Collared flycatcher)
Lineage: Eukaryota; Metazoa; Chordata; Aves; Passeriformes; Muscicapidae
Exons: 3
Source: RefSeq, a predicted model, not a curated record